Molecule: microRNA, 23 nt
Filed under: Octopus vulgaris (common octopus)
Lineage: Eukaryota; Metazoa; Mollusca; Cephalopoda; Octopoda; Octopodidae
Also listed under: 1 other name
Description: Ovu-Mir-12529_3p (mature (co-guide))
Source: RNAcentral
UUGUUGACGUAACACCAUUGCGC